RNAcentral lists this ribosomal RNA (155 nucleotides) under Tetrahymena sp. BOLD:AAO5061. RNAcentral describes it as "5.8S ribosomal RNA". It matches the Rfam family "5.8S ribosomal RNA". Rfam says of the family: 5.8S ribosomal RNA (5.8S rRNA) is a component of the large subunit of the eukaryotic ribosome. The record is from RNAcentral. Lineage: Eukaryota; Ciliophora; Oligohymenophorea; Hymenostomatida; Tetrahymenidae. RNAcentral also lists the same sequence under 1 other name.
AGAAAAUUUUCAACGGUGGAUAUCUAGGUUCCCGUGACGAUGAAGAACGCAGCGAAAUGCGAUACGCAAUGCGAAUUGCAGAAUCCGCGAGUCAUCAGAUCUUUGAACGCAAGUGGUGGAGGUGUAAAAACCUUCAUGUUUGUUUCAGUGUGGAA